GGAGCUCCAGCGCAACAACUUCUGAACACUUCAGUUCAAUAUUCCACAAUUUGAUCGACAGGCUUUAAUGAUCGCGAAUGGAGAUGUAAGAUUCUCUCAGGCUGGAUUUCUGCACAUUUGAGAUAAUGCCCUGAGAGGAAAUGACCGGAAUGAAAGAGAAUAACCUUGUGUUCAGAACAACCACAGACAUGCCC
This is a long non-coding RNA of Labeo rohita (rohu), 194 nucleotides long. RefSeq lists it as uncharacterized. The record is from RefSeq and is a predicted model, not a curated record. The transcript has 3 exons. NCBI's taxonomy places the organism in Eukaryota, Metazoa, Chordata, Actinopteri, Cypriniformes, Cyprinidae.